This 1086-nucleotide ribosomal RNA is filed under the name Triticum aestivum (bread wheat). Its description in RNAcentral is "partial small subunit ribosomal RNA". Lineage: Eukaryota; Viridiplantae; Streptophyta; Magnoliopsida; Poales; Poaceae. The record is from RNAcentral.
AUCCCCCUUCUCUACUUGACUCGGAAUCCAACAGCACGAAACGAACGCACCGCUCGCUUCCGCCCCUCCCCAACCUCCGUACCCUCCCUCCCCCCACCGCCGCGCCGUCCGCGCCCGCCGCCUCAGCUGAGCGACGGCCGGGCCCUCUCGGCGGCGGCCAUCGACGAUGGUGGUGGCCACGGAGGAAAUGGCGGUCUACUGCUUCGACACCCUCGUCGCCCACUACAGCGGCGAGCAGCCGCCGCCGCCCGCCUUCGAGGAGGGCGUCCACCCACUGUUUGUCACCUGGAAGAAGGCUACCAAUGGUUCCGAGCCACGCCUAAGGGGAUGCAUCGGAACUUUGGAGCCCCGUCAGAUUGUAAGCGGCUUCAAGGAUUAUGCGCUGACCAGUGCCCUGAGGGAUCGGCGCUUUUCUCCGAUACAGUCCAAAGAGCUGCCAUAUUUGGAAUGCACAGUUUCUAUAUUGACUGAAUACGAAACUGCACUCAACCACCUUGAUUGGGAGGUUGGAAAGCAUGGUUUAAUUAUUGAGUUCACCGAUCCUGACUAUAAUGUAAGACGGAGUGGAACUUAUUUACCUGAGGUUGCUGCCCAUGAAGGAUGGACACAACUAGAGACCAUUGACUCGCUCAUGAGGAAGGCUGGCUAUAAUGGCACCAUCACCGAGUCUUUGAGGAAGAAAAUCCGCGUCACCCGCUACCAGAGUACCCUGUACACCAUGCACUAUGGUGAAUAUACUGCAUAUGUCAAGAAGAACAGAGGUGAAAUUAACGGGGCACCCAUAGUUAAUGGAUUCAAACCAGGCCAGUGAUUUAUCUGUACUGUAGCAGGUAAUACAACUAUUUUUAAUUUGGCUUGGAAGGAAUUGGUGUGAGAAUUUGUUCGAAAAAAUCAACUCUAGUCAUUGAUCUGCCAUCAUGCCAUUUCAUUCCAAAGAAUGUGGGGUGCCAUGUCAACGGCCCUCAUGUCGUUCUGGGACAAAUUAAAUGGUGAUGGUUAUGUAUCUGUAAGCCUAUGCACUUUGAUUACAAAUAAUUGUGUGAAAUUAAUUGAUUUAAGUUGUUCAUUCACUGGUUAUGAUACCAG